Molecule: long non-coding RNA, 3114 nt
Organism: Mya arenaria
Lineage: Eukaryota; Metazoa; Mollusca; Bivalvia; Myida; Myidae
Exons: 7
Source: RefSeq, a predicted model, not a curated record
GCUAUCACGGAAGUAAAUUUAAGGUCAUUGGUCUACUUCAUGUCGUGAGAUGUAUGAUUCAAGUAAGAAAAUUAUAUUAACACAAAUCAAAAUAAGAAAUUGUGAUAAAUUAAACGUUACAUAAGUGUAUUACCUUUCUGCAACUUUCGAUUUCGAUUUCGAAAGCAAAACUACAAUAGUGUUAUACUAGUACAGUACGUAAGAAGCUUUACUAAUGGGAAAUAACAGGUCAAAGGGUGGCCGAGAUGCAACGUGUAAACUCGAGGACGAAACUCUUAAAGAGGUUGAAGAAGAAGUAGCGGAAUGGUCGCGAACGAUUCAGAGAAUUAAGGGAAACCAAGGGGCAAAGAUGGAUGAAAGUGACUUAAUUCACCGGAUGAACACCACUGCAAAGAAUAUUACUUGUUAUAUAAGCAAUGUAGAUGAGGAUCAGACAGGCCAAGCUGGCUUAUAUUUAAAUGUAAAUGGGCCAGUGAAUCCGACCUCAUCUAGUAAACGAACACAAAACGAAGAUGGAACUUGCUCUGGUCAAGAUCGAGAAGUAAACAUUAAUAUUUGGUUGCGCAAAUUGGGUUCCUUAAAGCAGAGAGAGAAAAAAUGAAGAAAAAUAUUGAACGUCUUCAGGAGGAAAUUUCAAGAAAGAGAGAGAACAUUCAGGAUCUCCAUGCAGAGAACGACCAAUUAAAGAUAUGAUUGAGCAAACUGACAGGUGAUAAGCUGAAACAAAACAACCCGAAAAUAGCUGACCUGAGCGAUAUGUCCGGCCGACGAAGCUUGGCGAGAUUUACAGUGAGCUGUUUGACAACGAGUGGCUGUCGCGUUUGAAGGUCUGACAAAAGGUGGCGGCUACAAAGAUGAAGCAAUUAAUGCUCUGCGUAAAACAUUGGAUAGUGCCUACACGUUUUGUGUGAUAAAUUCCAACGAGUUGGUUACCAAAAUGGAAGCGGUCACAGAGGAGUUGUUUGAAGACAUAAGACGACGAGAGCAUAGUCUUACACUUCCACAAUCUCCACAUGGUCGUGAAACAAAUCCACUGCUUGCACUUGAGGACUAUUUCUUUGAGAGGCACUGGAAACCUAAACAACGCAAGGAAGCACAGAAGAACUGGAACAAGCAAACGUCGGUUCGACCUACAAAUAUGGGACAAGAAUUGAUUAAAAUGCGGAAAGGUGUCGCCGUCUAAAUGGUUCCUGUCGUGCAACAUGUAAAAGGCGUGUUUCAUCUAGGCACUAUGCUUGAUCGCAUAACGAUGUGAAGUUGGAAACAAUCCGUUUGAAUUUCAUUUUUAAUAUGAACUUAAAAGACAUAAUUGGACACUGUUCCUGUGUCUCUGAUAAUGUGUUAAGAUAUAGUCAUAUCAUAAAAAAUAUGACCUAAAAAAGAAUAAGAAAAUUAGUCGUCACCAUUUCAAAAAUGUUAAAACAAAUAUGCUAUUUAAAUCACGAGCGUUUUAAGGAAAGAUUGAAUUUCAGGAGUGUGUUGUUGUUGUUUUUCUUUUAUUGAUGUUAUAAAUGAAAUAAAAUAUAAACAAUCUAGUAACACAAUUAUCUAUCAAACAUUCUAUUUCACAGGCAUAUUUACGAGACAGAUGAGACAAGGAAUGCAUUGAAUCACUUAAACCUUUCAUCAAAAAGUCCCUCUUCAUCUGCUGGAUGAUGGUGGUUCAAACUCCUCCAAUGGUUUUUGACAGUACAACCAAAGCCGAUUCGCGUUUUGACUCAUCGAUGUACAGGCAAUACACAGCGAGUGGAGACAACGUAGAGUACGUGGUUUGGCCUGCGAUGUUUCUUCAUCAAAACGGACCCCUUGUUCUAAAAGGUGUUGCGCAGCCAAAGCAGCGUGUGUAGUUGAUAUUUUCUACGUACAUCUACUUUCAAAGUGUCGUUGGAGUAUCCAAGGCAUCUUACACCUUUGUUGUUAUGUAUUGAUUAAGAAACGAUAGGAUUAUAUAAACAGAAGGUGUUGUGUUUUAUUAUUACGUAAUGUGUCUCCCAUUGAGUGUCUCCAAGGCUUUAAUUCUAUCUGACGCCUUUAAACAAUAUCAUACGUGUCCCUGUAGGCUUCAUCGUAAUUAUAAUCAUUGCAUCGAAGACAAGUAACUUGUCGCUAAGCAAGAAAGCAAAAUUAUAUGAUAUGCAUACAAACGUAAUAAUGCCAAUUUACAUUUCUGUGAAAUGUUUCAAUUUGUAUUUGAGUUUUAAAGAAAUGGGAAUCUGUUUUGUUGUGAUGUUUGGUCGGUAUGAUAAUAUGCUUCGGUUUGCUGUUCUUUCAGUCUAAAGAAAGUCCGAGACAUAUAGUUUACUGCUUUUUUCUGAUAUGAUAGAACAUUGGUAAACGCUUCAUUAGUAAUUUGCAAGGUGUAAGUUGCAAUUAUCACUGCUGUUAGCAGCGUGAAAUUAGCUGGUUCAACUUUACCGGCAGUAUAGCAAUACUAUCUAAUAACUUAAAUAAACGACAGUAUAAAAGAUGACUGCAAUGUAACGACGGGAUUCACGAUGGUACAGCGUAACGAUUGGAUUAACGAUGCCUACAGCCUAACGAUUGAAUUAACGAUGCCUACAGCGUAACGAUUGGAUUAACGAUGCCUACAACGAACCGAUUGGAUUAACGAUGCCUACAGCGUAACGAUUGGAUUAACGAUGCAUACAGCGUAACGAUUGGAUUAACGAUGCCUAGAGACUAACGAUUGGAUUAACGAUGCAUACAGCGUAACGAUUGGAUUAACGAUGCCUACAGCGUAACGAUUUGUUUAACGAUGCCUUCAGCGUAACGAUUGGAUUAACGAUGCCUACAGCGUAACGAUUGGAUUAACAAUGCCUACAGCGUAACGAUUGGAUUAUCGAUGCAUACAGCGUAACGAUUGGAUUAACGAUGACUAAAGCGUAACAAUUGGAUUAAUGAUGCCUACAGCGUAACGAUUGGAUUAACGAUGCAUACAGCGUAACGAUUGGAUUAACGAUGACUAAAGCGUAACAAUUGGAUUAGCGAUGCCUACAGCGUAACGAUUGGAUUAACGAUGCCUACAGCGAUACGAUUGGAUUAACGAUGCCUACAGCGUUACGAUUGGAUUAACGAUGCCUACAGCGCUACCACUGGAUUAACGAUGCCUACAGC